CUGUCUGCCCUUAUAUCUGUUUUUUUGUCAAAUCUGUCUUGUAUUUCUGUCUGCCUGUCAUUCGUUCUGUCUGUCUGUCAUUCUGUCGUUCUGUCUGUCUGUCUGUCUGUCUAUAGUUCUGUUGUUCUGCAACAUCUGAAUAAUUACUCAAAGCACUCAUCAGCUGCUUAGCAACCACUCAGUUUCAUGACAACUGACUAUCACUUUCAUGAAUUUGUAAUAAUCUUUAUGACUUUAUAUCAUAUCAAUAUUUGACUUUUUUAUGUUUUCGCCCCCCCCUUCUUCGUUAAGGUUUUGUACUUUCUACUAUUUCAGUUUCUUGUAAAAAUUCAUACGAUUUCUCAUGUUUGUCUCUGUAUCUAGGAACCACCCGGAAACUGUCUUCGAGACAUAAUCUUUCAGAUGAGAUUCUGUCAAGAAAUGAAGCUCCAUUCCGAUGGCACCACUAGACUCUUGAGUGACUGCAAAAAAUGUUUCCAAACCUCAGUUAUGCUGCUCUUGAACAGUUAAAAGUGCCAUUGAUG
RNAcentral lists this long non-coding RNA (524 nucleotides) under Carassius auratus (goldfish). RNAcentral describes it as "lncRNA (ENSCARG00000066327.1)". Lineage: Eukaryota; Metazoa; Chordata; Actinopteri; Cypriniformes; Cyprinidae. The record is from RNAcentral.